Molecule: unclassified non-coding RNA, 131 nt
Filed under: fungal sp.
Lineage: Eukaryota; Fungi
Description: partial internal transcribed spacer region
Rfam family: Eukaryotic small subunit ribosomal RNA (bases 1-46)
Source: RNAcentral
AAGUCGUAACAAGGUUUCCGUAGGUGAACCUGCGGAAGGAUCAUUAACACGUAUCCAACGUUAAACAACCCUGUGAACUUUCAGCCUGCUCUUAAACCGAACAACUGUUAACAAUGGAUAUCUUGGUUCUC